UGGGGAGAGGGAACGAGGGGUCCGACCUAGCCCGAAAGCGAGCUCUGGGGCUUUCUCCUGUCGUACUGGCCACCACCUGAGUCCAGGUUGGGGCAACAGAACUACAGUUACGGAAGAAAAGUACACAUUAUUCCACUUCUUCCUUCCGCAACGCACCCUUUCCUGAGCUUUCUACCCCCCUGAACCUGCGCAGCUGGAUGCGACGUCCCAGGGGCUUAUGGUCAAGCUAGCUGGUCAGUCUGGCUGAUCCUAGGUGCUUGCCAGAUGUCGAAACCGCUGAUAGCCCUAGCACUCAACCCACGGUGCUGUUUCAUAAUGCAGUAAUUUUGAAAACAUUCUAAAUGAAAAUUUGGAAUCUGAAUUUAAGUCAAUGUGCAGCUGUAUAAUGUGUGACCCCAGUGCAAAAACAGAUCACAACUUGAAGCAAGGCUCUUCUUUUACUUAGACAGUCUGGACUGAGGCUCCUUAAAUGUUAAUUUGUAAAGAAAUCAUCACCAUGUACAUACAGUAGGACCUCUUGGACCAACAGCACCAACGGGACCAACAACACC
Long non-coding RNA from Herpailurus yagouaroundi (jaguarundi), 551 nucleotides. RefSeq lists it as uncharacterized. The transcript has 3 exons. NCBI's taxonomy places the organism in Eukaryota, Metazoa, Chordata, Mammalia, Carnivora, Felidae. The record is from RefSeq and is a predicted model, not a curated record.